This 1467-nucleotide ribosomal RNA is filed under the name uncultured bacterium. RNAcentral's name for it is "bacterial SSU rRNA". It matches the Rfam family "Bacterial small subunit ribosomal RNA". The record is from RNAcentral.
AGAGUUUGAUCCUGGCUCAGAACGUACGCUGGCGGCACGCCUAACACAUGCAAGUCGAACGAAGUAGCAAUACUUAGUGGCAGACGGGUGAGUAACAUGUAGGUAUCUGCCCUAUGGCCUGGAAUAACACGAGGAAACUUGUGCUAAUACCGGAUAAGUCUUUACAGAGAAAGCUUUAUGCACCAUUGGAUGAGCCUGCACUUGAUUAGUUUGUUGGUGGGGUAAUGGCCUACCAAGACUGUGAUCAAUAGCUGAUUUGAGAGGAUGAUCAGCCACAUUGGGACUGAGACACGGCCCAAACUCCUACGGGAGGCAGCAGUGGGGAAUCUUGCACAAUGGAGGAAACUCUGAUGCAGCGAUGCCGCGUGAGUGAAGAAGGCCUUUGGGUUGUAAAGCUCUUUCGUCGGGGAAGAAAAUGACUGUACCCGAAUAAGAAGGUCCGGCUAACUUCGUGCCAGCAGCCGCGGUAAUACGAAGGGACCUAGCGUAGUUCGGAAUUACUGGGCUUAAAGAGUUCGUAGGUGGUUGAAAAAGUUGGUGGUGAAAUCCCAGAGCUUAACUCUGGAACUGCCAUCAAAACUUUUCAGCUAGAGUUUGAUAGAGGAAAGCAGAAUUUCUAGUGUAGAGGUGAAAUUCGUAGAUAUUAGAAAGAAUACCAAUUGCGAAGGCAGCUUUCUGGAUCAUUACUGACACUGAGGAACGAAAGCAUGGGUAGCGAAGAGGAUUAGAUACCCUCGUAGUCCAUGCCGUAAACGAUGUGUGUUAGACGUUGGAAAUUUAUUUUCAGUGUCGCAGCGAAAGCGAUAAACACACCGCCUGGGGAGUACGACCGCAAGGUUAAAACUCAAAUGAAUUGACGGGGACCCGCACAAGUAGUGGAGCAUGUGGUUUAAUUCGAAGAUACGCGCAGAACCUUACCAACACUUGACAUGUUCGUCGCGACUUUAAGAGAUUAAAGUUUUCGGUUCGGCCGGACGAAACACAGGUGCUGCAUGGCUGUCGUCAGCUCGUGUCGUGAGAUGUUGGGUUAAGUCCCGCAACGAGCGCAACCCUCACUUUUAGUUGCCAUCAUUUAGUUGGGCACUCUGAAAGAACUGCCAGUGAUAAGCUGGAGGAAGGUGGGGAUGACGUCAAGUCCUCAUGGCCCUUACGUGUUGGGCUACACACGUGCUACAAUGGUAUCUACAACAGGAAGCAAGACGGCGACGUCAAGCAAAUCCCUAAAAGAUACCUCAGUUCGGAUUGCACUCUGCAACUCGAGUGCAUGAAGCUGGAAUUACUAGUAAUCGUGGAUCAGCGUGCCACGGUGAAUGCGUUCCCGGGUCUUGUACACACCGCCCGUCACACCAUGGGAGUUGGUUCUACCUUAAGGCAAGGUUUUAAACCCUUGACCACGGUAUAGUCAGCGACUGGGGUGAAGUCGUAACAAGGUAGCCGUAGGGGAACCUGCGGCUGGAUCACCUCCUU